GGGGUUGUGGCUCAGCGGUAGAGUGCUUACCUGACACGUGUGAGGCCCUGGGUUCAAUCCUCAGCACCACA
This 71-nucleotide transfer RNA is filed under the name Marmota monax (woodchuck). RNAcentral's name for it is "tRNA.Val". It matches the Rfam family "tRNA". From Rfam's summary of the family: Transfer RNA (tRNA) molecules are approximately 80 nucleotides in length. Their secondary structure includes four short double-helical elements and three loops (D, anti-codon, and T loops). The record is from RNAcentral. Lineage: Eukaryota; Metazoa; Chordata; Mammalia; Rodentia; Sciuridae.